UACGAAGGGGGCUAGCGUUGCUCGGAAUCACUGGGCGUAAAGCGCACGUAGGUGGGUCGUUAAGUCGGGGGUGAAAUCCUGGAGCUCAACUCCAGAACUGCCUUUGAUACUGGCGACCUUGAGUUCGGGAGAGGUGAGUGGAACUGCGAGUGUAGAGGUGAAAUUCGUAGAUAUUCGCAAGAACACCAGUGGCGAAGGCGGCUCACUGGCCCGAUACUGACGCUGAGGUGCGAAAGCGUGGGGAGCAAACAGG
This 253-nucleotide ribosomal RNA is filed under the name uncultured bacterium. RNAcentral's name for it is "partial 16S ribosomal RNA". It matches the Rfam family "Bacterial small subunit ribosomal RNA", at positions 524 to 776 of the family's 1533-position model. The record is from RNAcentral.